RNAcentral lists this transfer RNA (85 nucleotides) under Pseudomonas aeruginosa. RNAcentral describes it as "tRNA-Leu". The stretch from base 1 to 69 matches the Rfam family "tRNA", at positions 14 to 71 of the family's 71-position model. From Rfam's summary of the family: Transfer RNA (tRNA) molecules are approximately 80 nucleotides in length. Their secondary structure includes four short double-helical elements and three loops (D, anti-codon, and T loops). Further hydrogen bonds mediate the characteristic L-shaped molecular structure. tRNAs have two regions of fundamental functional importance: the anti-codon, which is responsible for specific mRNA codon recognition, and the 3' end, to which the tRNAs corresponding amino acid is attached (by aminoacyl-tRNA synthetases). tRNAs cope with the degeneracy of the genetic code in two manners: having more than one tRNA (with a specific anti-codon) for a particular amino acid; and 'wobble' base-pairing, i.e. permitting non-standard base-pairing at the 3rd anti-codon position. Lineage: Bacteria; Pseudomonadati; Pseudomonadota; Gammaproteobacteria; Pseudomonadales; Pseudomonadaceae. The record is from RNAcentral.
AAUUGGUAGACACACUGGAUUUAGGUUCCAGCGCCGCAAGGCGUGAGAGUUCGAGUCUCUCCGUCCGCACCACCUUCUAAAUCAA